GGUUAUGGCUCAGCGGUAGAGCGCUUGCCUCACACAUACGGGGACCUGGGUUCAAUCCUCAGCACCA
Molecule: transfer RNA, 67 nt
Filed under: Marmota monax (woodchuck)
Lineage: Eukaryota; Metazoa; Chordata; Mammalia; Rodentia; Sciuridae
Description: tRNA.Val
Source: RNAcentral